RNAcentral lists this ribosomal RNA (492 nucleotides) under uncultured bacterium. RNAcentral's name for it is "partial 16S ribosomal RNA". It matches the Rfam family "Bacterial small subunit ribosomal RNA", at positions 29 to 507 of the family's 1533-position model. The record is from RNAcentral.
AGUGAACGCUGGCGGUAGGCCUAACACAUGCAAGUCGAACGGCAGCACAGUAAGAGCUUGCUCUUACGGGUGUCGAGUGGCGGACGGGUGAGGAAUACAUCGGAAUCUACUUUUUCGUGGGGGAUAACGUAGGGAAACUUACGCUAAUACCGCAUACGACCUACGGGUGAAAGCAGGGGAUCUUCGGACCUUUCGCGAUUGAAUGAGCCGAUGUCGGAUUAGCUAGUUGGUGGGGUAAAGGCCCACCAAGGCGACGAUCCGUAGCUGGUCUGAGAGGAUGAUCAGCCACACUGGAACUGAGACACGGUCCAGACUCCUACGGGAGGCAGCAGUGGGGAAUAUUGGACAAUGGGCGCAAGCCUGAUCCAGCCAUACCGCGUGGGUGAAGAAGGCCUUCGGGUUGUAAAGCCCUUUUGUUGGGAAAGAAAAGCAGCAGGUUAAUACCCCGCUGUUCUGACGGUACCCAAAGAAUAAGCACCGGCUAACUUCGUG